Molecule: long non-coding RNA, 1312 nt
Filed under: Vitis vinifera (wine grape)
Lineage: Eukaryota; Viridiplantae; Streptophyta; Magnoliopsida; Vitales; Vitaceae
Description: long non-coding RNA (VVIN_LNC005810)
Source: RNAcentral
GCACGUGGGGAGAAGAGAGAGGCUACUGUGCAUAAAUUAGGGCACUCGCCGGAUUUUUGACCGGCCGUUUGGACGGCCAAACGAUCUCCUUUCGGCCCAAAUUCGGAGGAAGUACUCUAUUUGACUAGAGGAACAAGCCUGCAGUGGCUGAUUUCGUUUUUAACGGCUAAAUUUUCAGAUCUGAGGUAGGGGACCCUAACCCUAAAACUUAAAUUUUUAUGUUUUUCUCUUGAAAAAAAAUUGUAGAUACUGUCAUUAUGAGUUAAUUAGGAAUUAUGGGUGUUGUAUGAAUUUUUCUAGAAUAUUUGGAAUUUGUUUGGAAUUUUUGGAAUUUCGGGAAAUUGAUUUUGAUUGAUAAUUAAUUGUUUUGAAAUGUAAAAAAAUUAUUAGAUGGGUUGGAAAAUUCCAAAAUUUGGGUUAAAUUUCAAAUAUAAUGAUUUGUGAAUUUUUAGGCAUUGGUUAGAAUAUUUUCGAAAAUUUUAGGGUAAAUAGUUAGUUAAUUUUGGAUAGUAGAAAUUAUUAUAAUGGUUGAAAAAUUUUGUAAGUGUGGUAAAAUCUCAAGAUUUUUUAUAUGCAAUUUUUUGAAUAUUUAUUUGGGAUAUUAUCGGAAAUUGUAAUGUGUGAAAUUAUUUUAUUGGAUUAUUGGGGAAUGUUGAGAUUGUUGAAUUAUUGAGGAAUUUUAGAAAUUGUGGCAUUCAUUGCAUCAUGGUUGUAUGAAGAAAAAAAAUUCUGUGAAAAGUGUAUGAAAUGGAAAAAAUAAAUAAAUAGUGAUGAAAAGCGAAAGCCCGUGUGAGGCAAACUAAGAAGGGAGAGAGAUCCCUAGGGUGAAAGACCCAAAAGUUUACCUCGGGAAGACUCCAAAUGGGGAGUAUAUUUGGGUGCGGACGCGUAUCCUUCGGUGAAAGCCCGAGAAUGAUAGUGCAUUGUAUGACUGUGUGUCACACGUUCAUAUGCAUUCAUUUAAUGAUUGGAUGUUGUGGAAUUAAGUAUAACAUUAUAUUGUUAAAUUGUGUGACUUGAUUUAUAUUGGUGAUCUGUUGCGGUUGGGUUCUUGAAAUUUAGUAAUCCCCCAUUAACCCUUUGGGUGUUAGGCACCCUACUUAGCAACGUGGAAAUGCUCACCCCUUUCUUUUUAUAUAUUUUUAGAUGCAGAUAUCACUCCUGAGGAUCCACGGAUGGGACAGGGAGGACUUCAGGAUGCCCCUGGAGCAGUUUAGUGGAAGGGCUUUAUUUUUUUAUUGUGUUUAUGGUAUUGAGACCUUGUAAUAAGUGAAUUAUGGAUAAUGUAAUAAGACCUUAAUUUGAUUAAGGG